AUCGAUAACUCGGGCGUACCUACGUACAGUGUAAUUUAAUUUACCCUUUACGCGCCCGUCUCUCUUUUUUUUUUUGUUCAACGAUUUUAACGCACGCCCGCAAAUCUCUCCGAUAUCAACUUCGUCAGCUAUAUGAUCGUAGCAGACAAUGUGGCCGGCGUUGCACCGAGUCGAGUCGAGAGUCAAGAAAUAGACAGUUACCUGUAGCCACUCGUUCUCUAGCGAUGCAAAUUUCUCGACACCGGACGAUAGCAGAAUGGAAGAGUCAAGACUGCCGCAUGAGAGUAAAGAGUCUGCAUGUCGACUAGGGGGAGGCUGGAGGAUAAGGCAUCAAAGAGAGCCAAGCAGGACGUCACAGACCUCGCGGAUGUCGCGGAUCAUGACGCGUGGGCGAACGAUGUCCAUUCAAUGUACACGCACACUCGAACAAUGUACUUUGGAUAUUUUUUCCGGACCAUAAGCCCCAAUAGCUCCUCGGCCUUUGCGGAGAUGAGCUUCGACUGGAGCCAUUAUACCUUGCAACUUCUUUCCCAAACCUUUACCAGGUUCAAAACCCAUCUG
This is a long non-coding RNA of Athalia rosae (coleseed sawfly), 561 nucleotides long. RefSeq lists it as uncharacterized. The transcript is spliced from 3 exons. The record is from RefSeq and is a predicted model, not a curated record. NCBI's taxonomy places the organism in Eukaryota, Metazoa, Arthropoda, Insecta, Hymenoptera, Athaliidae.